CCCUUAGACGUUCUGGGUCGCACGCGCGCUACACUGACCAGUGCAACAAGCAUCCGUCCUUGGCCGACAGGCUCGGGCAAUCUUUGAACGCUGGUCGUGAUGGGGAUAGACUUUUGCAAUUUUUGGUCUUCAACGAGGAAUUCCUAGUAAACGCAAGUCAUCAACUUGCAUUGAUUACGUCCCUGCCCUUUGUACACACCGCCCGUCGCUCCUACCGAUGAAUCGUCCGGUGAAGUUCAUGGAGUAGUGGUUGUUCCAUCCGCUGUCGAAGUGAAAUAAACCUCAUGAUUUAGAGGAAGGAGAAGUCGUANCA
Molecule: ribosomal RNA, 313 nt
Filed under: uncultured eukaryote
Lineage: Eukaryota
Description: partial 18S ribosomal RNA
Rfam family: Eukaryotic small subunit ribosomal RNA
Source: RNAcentral